ACAGGAUUAGAUACCCUGGUAGUCCACGCCCUAAACGAUGAGUACUAAACGUUGGAUAAAACCAGUGUUGAAGUUAACACAUUAAGUACUCCGCCUGAGUAGUACGUACGCAAGUAUGAAACUUAAAGGAAUUGACGGGACUCCGCACAAGCGGUGGAUCAUGUUGUUUAAUUCGAAGGUACCCGAAAAACCUCACCAGGUCUUGACAUGCUUUUGCAAAACUGUAGAAAUACAGUGGAGGUUAUCAGAAGCACAGGUGGUGCAUGGUUGUCGUCAGCUCGUGUCGUGAGAUGUUGGGUUAAGUCCCGCAACGAGCGCAACCCUUGUUGUUAAUUGCCAUCAUUAAGUUGGGGACUUUAGCAAGACUGCCAAUGAUAAAUUGGAGGAAGGUGGGGACGACGUCAAAUCAUCAUGCCCCUUAUGACCUGGGCUACAAACGUGAUACAAUGGCUGUUACAAAGGGUAGCUAAAGCGUAAGCUUCUGGCGAAUCUCAAAAAAGCAGUCUCAGUUCGGAUUGAAGUCUGCAACUCGACUUCAUGAAGUUGGAAUCGCUAGUAAUCGCGAAUCAGCAUGUCGCGGUGAAUACGUUCUCGGGGUUUGUACACACCGCCCGUCAAACCACGAAAGUUGGCAAUACCCAAAGCCGGUGGCCUAACUUGAGCAAUCAAGAAGGAGCCGUCUAAGGUAGGGUUGAUGAUUGGGGUUAAGUCGUAACAAGGUAUCCCUACCGGAAGGUGGGGAUGGAUCACCUCCUUU
RNAcentral lists this ribosomal RNA (757 nucleotides) under Candidatus Phytoplasma solani. RNAcentral describes it as "bacterial SSU rRNA". It matches the Rfam family "Bacterial small subunit ribosomal RNA", at positions 772 to 1533 of the family's 1533-position model. Lineage: Bacteria; Bacillati; Mycoplasmatota; Mollicutes; Acholeplasmatales; Acholeplasmataceae. The record is from RNAcentral.